AGGGGCAACUCUGGUUCAGUGGCGGACGGGUGCGUAACACGUGAGGAACAUGACCUUCGGCGGGGGAUAGCCGGCCCAACGGCCGGGUAAUACCGCGUACGACCACUUUGGGACAUCCCUCGGUGGUGAAAGCAGCAAUGCGCCGAUGGAGUGCCUCGUGGCCUAUCAGCUAGUUGGUGAGGUAACGGCUCACCAAGGCGACGACGGGUAGCUGGUCUGAGAGGAUGAUCAGCCACACUGGGACUGAGACACGGCCCAGACUCCUACGGGAGGCAGCAGUGGGGAAUCUUGGACAAUGGGCGCAAGCCUGAUCCAGCCAUGCCGCGUGAGUGAAGAAGGCCUUAGGG
Molecule: ribosomal RNA, 347 nt
Filed under: uncultured bacterium
Lineage: Bacteria
Description: bacterial SSU rRNA
Rfam family: Bacterial small subunit ribosomal RNA
Source: RNAcentral